UCUCAUCCACUCAAUUUCACCCACAUCUCUUCUCUCUUUUGGUCGGCUCUCUCCUUUCUUUCUUUCAUUUUCUUUCUUUUCAUUUUACUGAAACACACACACACACCCACCCACCAGCCUCCACCCUAAAACACACUAUAUCACCAUCAUUUUUCCGGCAAGAUCACCAGAAAAAUACUUAGGAACUCCAAAGCAUCUUCAUCAUUUUAUUUGAGGUUCUAGCUAAUCUCCCCUUGGAGCUUGGAGAAUUAGGAUUUUGCGGUUGCGAGGUAAGUAGCUUUUUAAUGGGUAUUUUUGGAAAAUAACCAUAUCUUAUAAAUAUUGUUUUUGAGUCAAACACAUUUUGGAAAAUGAUAUAUAUGGAUAUAUGCUUUCUUAAAAGUAUUGUGUUGUGACCCUUACUAUAUAUGAAAAAUGCAUCAUAUUUGAUAUUACAUUUGGGGAAAUGCAUGAAUUGUUGAUAUGGAAAAAUGAGCAUCUUUUAUUUAAUCUUUGAUAAGAAAAUCAUUGAUUUUAUGGUGUAUUGAAAAGUUAAAGAUUCUUAUCUUGUCUUGUAUUAUUUGAGAAAUUGUUAGAAAAUCUUUUAACAAGAAUGAAGUUUGAAAACCUUACAAACUUUGUAGAAGUUAGAUUAUUUAAGGUUUUCUGAAACUAUUUGGAUAUGAACUAUGUGUUUCAAAGUAAGGUAACCUGUGAGUUUAUGUGAUUUUAGCCCUAUGCCAUGUGUGAUUUCCCGGUGAUCACCCGAUUUGAUUUCCGUAGUCUUUGUGACAAUGGAAUCAAAUUUAGGUCAGUGCCCUUUCACUUUGGAUGACGCGUUCUUCCCUGCUGUCCAUGGGGGGAAGAGGUUCCUUGAUUGUGUGUGGGUGAGGCUGCUGUCCAUGGGGCCAAGAGUUUGCAUACCAGAUAGGAUAAUAUCAUGCCAGUUGUGAAUGGGUGGAUCCCCUGACCGGUCUAUGUGGUAGUGUGGUAGAUUUGUGAUAAUUUAUCUUAUGUUAGAUAUUAUGGUUUUAGAAAUUAUAUUGUUGAUACUCACAGAUUAUGGUAUAUAGUUUCAAGGUAUUUACUUUGAAAAACUUUGUGCUUCAUUAUGUAAUCAUUCUUGUCAUAUUAUUAUUAUUGAAGAUGAAACUUACAUUUCCCCCACCCCCAUUAUUGUGCUACUUACUGGGCUUUGUCUCAUUCCAUUAUUUUUAUAAACUUUUCAGAGUAGGCAACAAUCUUUUGAGACAACUUUUUUGGUGGCUAAUAGUAGUUAGACUAACUACUGAUGGAGGCUGAAUUUUUGUAAUGGAUAUAUUAGAUGGUGUACAUCUUAGACUAGGCCUGACUCAUUCUUUUGUAUAUUAUAGUGGUUAUGACUGUAUUUCCACUGAUGGGACAAGCUGUUGUUAUGUAAUAGUUUUAUUCAGACCUCUAUUCUUUUGUGGCCUAUGAUCUUUGUAAUUAAUGCUUAGAGCUCUGACUUACUCUGAAAGUAUAUUCUAUGGGAUUAUUAUGAUAAUUCUUGUUGUUGGCACUUGAUAAAAA
Long non-coding RNA from Quercus robur (English oak), 1530 nucleotides. RefSeq lists it as uncharacterized. NCBI's taxonomy places the organism in Eukaryota, Viridiplantae, Streptophyta, Magnoliopsida, Fagales, Fagaceae. The record is from RefSeq and is a predicted model, not a curated record. The transcript is spliced from 2 exons.